RNAcentral lists this ribosomal RNA (212 nucleotides) under uncultured bacterium. Its description in RNAcentral is "partial 16S ribosomal RNA". It matches the Rfam family "Bacterial small subunit ribosomal RNA", at positions 1289 to 1500 of the family's 1533-position model. The record is from RNAcentral.
CAGUUCGGAUUGUAGUCUGCAACCCGGCUACAUGAAGCUGGAAUCGCUAGUAAUCGCGGAUCAGAAUGCCGCGGUGAAUACGUUCCCGGGUCUUGUACACACCGCCCGUCACACCAUGGGAGUCGGAAAUGCCCGAAGUCUGUGACCCAACCUCAGGGAGGGAGCAGCCGAAGGCAGGUCGGAUGACUGGGGUGAAGUCGUAACAAGGUAGC